This 402-nucleotide ribosomal RNA is filed under the name bacterium. RNAcentral describes it as "partial 16S ribosomal RNA". It matches the Rfam family "Bacterial small subunit ribosomal RNA", at positions 355 to 776 of the family's 1533-position model. The record is from RNAcentral.
UGGGGAAUUUUGCACAAUGGGGGAAACCCUGAUGCAGCGACGCCGCGUGAUUUAGAAGGCCUUCGGGUUGUAAAAAUCUUUUCUAUGGGAAGAAAAUGACAGUACCAUAGGAAUAAGGACCGGCUAAUUACGUGCCAGCAGCCGCGGUAAUACGUAAGGUCCGAGCGUUGUCCGGAAUCAUUGGGCGUAAAGGGUACGUAGGCGGGUAAGCAAGUUAGAAGUGAAAUCCUAUAGCUCAACUAUAGUAAGCUUUUAAAACUGCUCAUCUUGAGGUAUGGAAGGGAAAGUGGAAUUCCUAGUGUAGCGGUGAAAUGCGCAGAUAUUAGGAGGAAUACCGGUGGCGAAGGCGACUUUCAGGCCAUAGCCUGACGCUGAGGUACGAAAGCGUGGGUAGCAAACAGG